AUUGAACGCUGGCGGCAUGCCUUACACAUGCAAGUCGAACGGUAACAGGUCUUCGGAUGCUGACGAGUGGCGAACGGGUGAGUAAUACAUCGGAACGUGCCCGAUCGUGGGGGAUAACGAGGCGAAAGCUUUGCUAAUACCGCAUACGAUCUACGGAUGAAAGCGGGGGAUCUUCGGACCUCGCGCGGACGGAGCGGCCGAUGGCAGAUUAGGUAGUUGGUGGGAUAAAAGCUUACCAAGCCGACGAUCUGUAGCUGGUCUGAGAGGAUGAUCAGCCACACUGGGACUGAGACACGGCCCAGACUCCUACGGGAGGCAGCAGUGGGGAAUUUUGGACAAUGGGCGAAAGCCUGAUCCAGCCAUGCCGCGUGCAGGAUGAAGGCCUUCGGGUUGUAAACUGCUUUUGUACGGAACGAAAAGCCUCUUUCUAAUAAAGAGGGGUCAUGACGGUACCGUAAGAAUAAGCACCGACUAACUACGUG
This 482-nucleotide ribosomal RNA is filed under the name uncultured bacterium. RNAcentral describes it as "partial 16S ribosomal RNA". It matches the Rfam family "Bacterial small subunit ribosomal RNA", at positions 30 to 507 of the family's 1533-position model. The record is from RNAcentral.